This is a long non-coding RNA of Laticauda laticaudata (blue-ringed sea krait), 2277 nucleotides long. The record is from Ensembl. NCBI's taxonomy places the organism in Eukaryota, Metazoa, Chordata, Lepidosauria, Squamata, Elapidae.
AGUGAAACAACCUCUGGCUGCCCUUCGAAGCCCCCCAGCUGGAUGUGGGGGGCUCAACCUGGGUCCCCGAAGUGAGAUCCCUGGCUGUGCUGACUGUGGCGCAGUCAUGGGGGGUGCUGGCCCCCAUGUCCAUGACUGGAGAUCUGAACGGAUUGAACCCUGUGGCAUUAGGUGAGUCCAACUCAGAGGGCUGAUGAACACAGGAUUUUGAAUGAGAGGGGAGAUGGAAAAGAAGCUCCUUUGCCCACAUAAUAUUCAUACCUUCUUAAUGUCCCUUUUUCCCAAAGUUGCAGCACACGGCAGAGCCCCCAGGUGACUUGUGAAACUCACAUUCCUGCCACAGAGACCACCCCAGCUGCAGGAGGUCAUCAUUCCCAUAGGCAUCCUCAGGAAAACUGCUCUGUUAGACAAGAACAUUUCUUGCCCAACUCCACUCGUAACAAAAGUGGUCCUCGGGAUCUUUCUAACCCUUGGGGAGGACCCCCAGGUGACACUUUGACUGUAACCAGUUUUGUGGGUCCUGAACCUCGCAAUGUACUUGUGUGUCCUGCUCGUUGUUCCCAAAGGCUGAGGAGGCCUCGCCCAGCAGGAGGGGCUGGGGAACCCAUAAAUGUGGAUGGUCCAAAAGAACAGCAUGGAUGUUGCACUGCACUACCAACUGAUGGAGUUGCAGCUGGAAGAACUGGUAAGAAGGAUGGAACAUAAUGGGAAUUUUAGUCUGCACCCAUGUCCUGCCAAAAUUCCAAAUGUUGUGCUCAUGCUCUUUGAACCAAUUCCAAAUAUUUGCUUAACAUACCUUUGUAUGUAGUUGGUUGCUGUCGUUGAUGCAGAUGCCUUAGAAAUGAAAACAAAUGAGCUGGCACUUAAAGAAAAUACAAAAUAGACAGUUGCACAAUUCUUGCAUUAGGUAAUGUUAUGAAAGAGUGCAAGUUUCUGGAUUAUUUGAAAUCCCAAAUCAGGACAGGUAAUAUAAAAAACCAAAGAACAGGGGAAGAAAAGGAAUUAGGUCAAAUGUGAUCAUCAGGUCUAUUUUAACAUUGUGAAGACUUUGUUGGUACAUUGAAUGUAUUUCUUAGUAGUAGGUUGCAGGUAUCAGAUUAUGUCUGGCAUUCUGAAGCAAAUAAUGAUUAAACACAGGCACUUUCCCCAAAUAAAUGAGAAUCCAGAUCAAUUUUUACCUUAGAAUAUAGGGGGAGGGGCUGAUAGUUCAGAGGAGAACAGACGUAAGGAGAAAUAUAACCAUCUUUAUCUUAGAAAAGCUGAAAUUAUUUAAGCAAUAAAGUUGUGGAGGGCAAAUUUAGAAACUGCAAGGAACAUAACCUUCAAAACGCAAAAAUUCUUUCAGUGGGAAAUAUUCUGGUACUAGAUUUCACUUCGUUAAAUUCUGUAUUUAAGUAAAAGAGGCCUUUUGGUUCAGUAUCUAGUAUGCUAAUUAUUUUAUUAUAGUUUAUUCCCAUUGCAUAAUUCUACAGAACCUGCACAUCUUUGCACAAAGCAAUAAAAAAUGCUAUGUCAUAUUUGUCAUUUUCAAAAUAAUACCUCUAAAAAAAACCCUAAUCUUUAUCAUAUGAAGCAUCUCUGGCUGAUAUCUUUCAAUGUAACUGUACUACAAUCAUUGUUCAGUUUCAAGAAUAAUAACUAUGUUGCUAUAAAAACACCAGUCGUGUGACAUUUUUAAAAAUGCACAUGUAUGAUUAUAGGAUUCAAGCCCAUGAGGACUUGCAGUAAUAAAUAUCUUAAUUUUGAAGUAUCACUUGGAUUUUUGAGUUUACGUUGGGGAAAUCUGUUUCCUUUCUUUGUGAUAUGAAAAAAUGUACAGGACUCUAAAUUUUGUGUGCGCACGUAUUGGGGGCAGGAAAGAGAAUUAAAGGAAUGCUAAGAAGCAACCCAGCAUAGUGGUAAACAAGGGUGAAGUCAGUGUAAUUUUUUAAACAAUCUUCUUGGUCUUUUGAUUGAAUGGGAAAUAAAUGCAAUUGAUUUCUGAUCAUUUGAGAAAGUACCUGUCUCUCAGGUUGUGUUUAGAGAAUUACAAGCCUUAAUUUUGUUUCCAUGUGAGCGUAAAUAAUCAGGAUUCAACUCUUUUAAACAUACACACCCACAUGCACAGAGCAACUUGUUCCUCCUGGUUCUGAACAGGUUAAGCGUCAGCCACUCUGUUCCCUCCCCUGAAAGUCCUUGAUUUAUCAGGCAAAGGGGAAAAUUCCUGAGGGGUUCAGAGAAGAACAGAGACCAGAAGAGCAGCCGUGAGAGGACCCACUCCCUGUUUUAACUUGUUUC